GACGAACGCUGGCGGCGUGCUUAACACAUGCAAGUCGAACGGAAAGGCCCCUUUGGGGGUACUCGAGUGGCGAACGGGUGAGUAACACGUGAGUAACCUGCCCUUGACUUCGGGAUAACUUCAGGAAACUGGGGCUAAUACCGGAUAGGAAUCCUUGCUGCAUGGUGGGGGUUGGAAAGCUUCGGCGGUUUUGGAUGGACUCGCGGCUUAUCAGCUUGUUGGUGGGGUAGUGGCUUACCAAGGCUUUGACGGGUAGCCGGCCUGAGAGGGCGACCGGCCACAGUGGGACUGAGAUACGGCCCAGACUCCUACGGGAGGCAGCAGUGGAGAAUAUUGCACAAUGGGCGGAAGCCUGAUGCAGCAACGCCGCGUGCGGGAUGACGGCCUUAGGGUUGUAAACCGCUUUCAGCAGGGGCGAAGCUUGUGGUGACGGUACCUGCAGAAGAAGCACCGGCUAACUACGUG
Molecule: ribosomal RNA, 465 nt
Filed under: uncultured bacterium
Lineage: Bacteria
Description: partial 16S ribosomal RNA
Rfam family: Bacterial small subunit ribosomal RNA
Source: RNAcentral